AUUGAACGCUGGCGGCAGGCUUAACACAUGCAAGUCGAACGAUGACUCUCUAGCUUGCUAGAGAUGAUUAGUGGCGGACGGGUGGGUAACAAUUAGGAAUCUACCUAUUAGUGGGGGAUAGCUCGGGGAAACUCGAAUUAAUACCGCAUACGACCUACGGGAGAAAGGGGGCGCAAGCUCUUGCUAUUAGAUGAGCCUAAAUCAGAUUAGCUAGUUGGUGAGGUAAAGGCCCACCAAGGCGACGAUGUGUCACUGGUCUGAGAGGGUGAUCAGUCACACCGGAACUGAGACACGGUCCAGACUCCUACGGGAGGCAGCAGGAGGGAAUUUUCCGCAAUGGGGGAAAGCCUGACGCAGCCACGCCGCGUGAGUGAAAAAGGUCUUUUGAUCUUAAAACUCUUUUAAGAGGGAAGAAGAAAUUAGUAAUUAACUCCCCAUGGAUUGACGGUACCUUACCAAAAAGCCACGGCUAACCACGUG
Molecule: ribosomal RNA, 480 nt
Filed under: uncultured bacterium
Lineage: Bacteria
Description: partial 16S ribosomal RNA
Rfam family: Bacterial small subunit ribosomal RNA
Source: RNAcentral